Molecule: ribosomal RNA, 466 nt
Filed under: uncultured bacterium
Lineage: Bacteria
Description: partial 16S ribosomal RNA
Rfam family: Bacterial small subunit ribosomal RNA
Source: RNAcentral
GACGAACGCUGGCGGCGUGCUUAACACAUGCAAGUCGAACGGAAAGGCCCUGCUUUUGUGGGGUGCUCGAGUGGCGAACGGGUGAGUAACACGUGAGUAACCUGCCCUUGACUUUGGGAUAACUUCAGGAAACUGGGGCUAAUACCGGAUAGGAGCUCCUGCUGCAUGGUGGGGGUUGGAAAGUUUCGGCGGUUGGGGAUGGACUCGCGGCUUAUCAGCUUGUUGGUGGGGUAGUGGCUUACCAAGGCUUUGACGGGUAGCCGACCUGAGAGGGUGACCGGCCACAUGGGGACUGAGAUACGGCCCAGACUCCUACGGGAGGCAGCAGUGGGGAAUAUUGCACAAUGGGCGGAAGCCUGAUGCAGCAACGCCGCGUGCGGGAUGACGGCCUUCGGGUUGUAAACCGCUUUCGCCUGUGACGAAGCGUGAGUGACGGUAAUGGGUAAAGAAGCACCGGCUAACUACG